AGGACAAUAACAAAAUUGUCUUACUCUUUAUUGAAAACUAUUUUUUUUUAACAUGGGCACAUCCUUAAACUUGAUCUUCUGUGAGAACGUGUGUGUUCCAGCAAGAAAGAAGGAGGAAGUGGAAGUGAAGCUUUCUUUACGGUAGCGGUUGCCUCUGGAAAUGGAGGAAAGGAGAAGUGAUGGGGCUUUAGCUGUUCCUGUUCCUUAAAACCGACAAACAAGAUACUCACCAAGACUGAAACACGUAUAACGAAAUAUGAAGAGUUAUUUUAUCUCAGUGAGAACCACAAACAGUGCUGCAGCAUUCUCUUGAUCCUCCUUUUCUUUCAUGUGAAGUCCAAAAAUGUAUCAAAGGAGGCUUCUGAAUUCAAUUCAGAAAAUAGACAGGGAUUCAGAUGUCAAGAACAGCGGCCCAGCAUACUCCAGGUCACGUACUGCUCUCACCAAUAGAAUGGAGUGGAAGUGAUAUUCUGGGACUUCUGAGCUGAGGCUUUAAGAAGACCGGCGGCUUCUGCUUCCUUCCUCUUGGAGUGCUUUCUUGUGAGACACUCCCCCAUGGACCCAACCAAUAUGCUAUGAGAAGCCAAAGACAGAAAGAAAAGCCAUAUUGAUAAGGGAGCC
This 621-nucleotide long non-coding RNA is filed under the name Equus caballus (horse). RNAcentral's name for it is "lncRNA (ENSECAG00000057477.1)". Lineage: Eukaryota; Metazoa; Chordata; Mammalia; Perissodactyla; Equidae. The record is from RNAcentral.